This 208-nucleotide long non-coding RNA is filed under the name Bos taurus (domestic cattle). Its description in RNAcentral is "long non-coding RNA NONBTAT017403". The record is from RNAcentral. Lineage: Eukaryota; Metazoa; Chordata; Mammalia; Artiodactyla; Bovidae.
UAAUAUAGUAUUAAGCAGAAUCUUUCAUAGUUUCUUGGCAGUUGUCCACAUUGAACUGGAGAGCAUUUAUGCUAUUGACUCAAUGUUAGCAUAUGUAGAGGCAUUUCCUAGUGAAUGUUUCAUAGUCUUUUAUAUUAAGACAUAAAAAUUACAGAAAACGUUAAUUUAAAUGUUAAACAUGCUGAAAUAAAGCAGUUGCCUAAGUGGU